AACGUAGGAGACAAACGUUAUCCGGAGUUACUGGGCGUAAAGGGCGUGUAGGUGGUUUCGUAAGUCUGGCGUGAAAUUUUUCGGCUUAACCGGGAAAGGUCGUCGGAUACUGCGGAGCUAGAGGACGGUAGAGGCGUGUGGAAUUCCCGGUGUAGCGGUGAAAUGCGCAGAUAUCGGGAGGAACACCAGUAGCGAAGGCGACACUCUGGGCCGGUACUGACGCUGAGGAGCGAAAGCGUGGGGAGCAAACAGG
RNAcentral lists this ribosomal RNA (253 nucleotides) under uncultured bacterium. RNAcentral describes it as "partial 16S ribosomal RNA". It matches the Rfam family "Bacterial small subunit ribosomal RNA", at positions 524 to 776 of the family's 1533-position model. The record is from RNAcentral.